AGCGAACGCUGGCGGCAUGCUUAACACAUGCAAGUCGCACGGCGGGGGCAACUCCGUCAGUGGCGGACGGGUGAGUAACGCGUAGGAAUCUAUCCUUGAAUGGGGGACAACCGUGGGAAACUACGGCUAAUACCGCAUGAUGACUGAGGUCUAAAGGCGCAAGUCGCCAGAGGAGGAGCCUGCGUCCGAUUAGCUAGUUGGUGGGGUAAAGGCCUACCAAGGCUCCGAUCGGUAGCUGGUCUGAGAGGAUGAUCAGCCACAUUGGGACUGAGACACGGCCCAAACUCCUACGGGAGGCAGCAGUGGGGAAUAUUGGACAAUGGGCGCAAGCCUGAUCCAGCAAUGCCGCGUGUGUGAAGAAGGCCUGCGGGUUGUAAAGCACUUUCAGUAGGGAAGAAAAGCCUAAGGUUAAUACCCUUGAGUCUUGACGUUACCUACAGAAGAAGCACCGGCUAACUCCGUG
RNAcentral lists this ribosomal RNA (463 nucleotides) under uncultured bacterium. RNAcentral describes it as "bacterial SSU rRNA". It matches the Rfam family "Bacterial small subunit ribosomal RNA", at positions 29 to 507 of the family's 1533-position model. The record is from RNAcentral.